Molecule: ribosomal RNA, 1268 nt
Filed under: uncultured diplonemid
Lineage: Eukaryota; Euglenozoa; Diplonemea
Description: partial 18S ribosomal RNA
Rfam family: Eukaryotic small subunit ribosomal RNA
Source: RNAcentral
CUGCCAGUAGUCAUAUGCUUGUUUCAAGGACUAAGCCAUGCAAGUCUCAGAGUAAAUGGAUUAACAGUAGGUCUGCAGACAGCUCAUUAAACCAGCUUGAACCUACGUGGAGAAACUGCCUUUUGGCAGACUAUUGGAUAACUUUGGUAACCCCAAAGCUAAUACAUGUCUGCACUUCCCGCACAGAUUCAACCCUUGGAUCUUGGUCCGAGGGCUGUGCUGGGUGCAAUUGACCGAAACAAAAACCAACGCUAGCAAUAGCAGCGGUGAUUGGAUGAUUCAGGUCAAUCGAGUAGUAGCGCAUGCUCUGUUGGCGCUUGUCCGCACGGCAAUCUGCCCUAUCAGCUUUUGACGGUAGUGUAGUGGACUACCGUGGCUGUAACGGGUAACGGGGAAUUAGGGUUCGAUUCCGGAGAGGGAGCCUGAGAAACGGCUACCACAACUACGGUUGGCAGCAGGCGCGCAAAUUGCCCAAUAGCAACACAUCGCUGAGGCAGCGAAGAGAAAUAGCAACUUCAUGCGGCCCUGCCGUGUGAAGAUUGCCAUGGACGAUAUCUAAACCUGUCGGUGAGUAUCAAUUGGUGGACAAGUCUGGUGCCAGCACCCGCGGUAAUUCCAGCACCAAUAGCGUAUAUUAAUGCUGCUGCUGUUAAAAAGCUCGUAGUUGGAUCAAGAGCUGGACUGUGCACGGUAGCCCCGUUAGUCAUGGUGGCUCAUCCUGACGGCGGCGGAACAACCCCGCGCAUUACGCAGUCCACUCUAGCAGGCCGAAACGGUUCCCUGUGAGUAGGCCCCUUCAUUGGAGUCGAAGCGCCAACGCAUCAACCAUAUGCAUACGGGACGUCGGCCAACGUUACUAUGAUCAAACCAGCGUGUCCAAAGCAGGCCUUCGCCUGAAUGUUCGAGCAUGGAAUAACAAGGGAUCGAUUCUCUCGGUUCUUUUUGUUGGUUUUUAACCCGAGAAGGAGUAAUUCAGUCCACGGUGUCCGAGUUGGGUUACCCUAGGUCUAGGCUUCGGCCCCAAUUAGGCCGUGUGCUUACGGGAUCAAUAGGGACUGACGGGGUCGUACGUACUUCCGCGUCAGAGGUGAAAUUCUUAGAUCGCGGGAAGACGAACUUCUGCGAAAGCAUUCGACAAGAAUGUCGUCAUUAAUCAGGAACGAGAGUGUGGGGAUCGAAGAUGAUCAGAUACCGUCGUAGUCCACUACUGUAAAGAGAAGAAGCAAAAGUCGUAACAAGGUAGCUGUAGGUGAACCUGCAGAAGGAUC